This 252-nucleotide ribosomal RNA is filed under the name uncultured bacterium. Its description in RNAcentral is "partial 16S ribosomal RNA". It matches the Rfam family "Bacterial small subunit ribosomal RNA", at positions 524 to 776 of the family's 1533-position model. The record is from RNAcentral.
UACGUAGGGGGCAAGCGUUGUCCGGAUUCAUUGGGCGUAAAGAGCGUGUAGGCGGCCAGGUAGGUCGGUUGUGAAAACUGGAGGCUCAACCUUCAGAGGUCGACCGAAACCAUCUGCUAGAGUCCGGGAGAGGAGAGUGGAAUUCCUGGUGUAGCGGUGAAAUGCGCAGAUAUCAGGAAGACCACCCGUGGCGAAAGCGGCUCUCUGGAACGGUACUGACGCUGAGACGCGAAAGCGUGGGGAGCGAACAGG